GAUGAACGCUAGCGGCAGGCUUAACACAUGCAAGUCGAGGGGCAGCACAGGUGGCAACACCGGGUGGCGACCGGCGUAAGGGUGCGUAACACGUGAGCAACAUACCCGUAUCUGGAGGAUAACCGGAGGAAACUCUGCCUAAUACUCCAUAAUAUCAUCGUACGGCAUCGUUUGGUGAUUAAAGAUUUAUCGGACACGGAUUGGCUCGCGGGACAUUAGCUUGUUGGUGGGGUAACGGCUCACCAAGGCCACGAUGUCUAGGGGUUCUGAGAGGAAGGUCCCCCACACUGGAACUGAGACACGGUCCAGACUCCGUACGGGAGGCAGCAGUGAGGAAUAUUGGACAAUGGAUGGAAAUCUGAUCCAGCCAUGCCGCGUGCAGGAAGGCGGCCCUAUGGGUUGUAAACUUGCUUUUGUACGGGAGCAAUAAGGUCUACGAGUAGAUUGAUGAGAGUACUGUACGAAUAAGCAUCGGCUAACUCCGUGCC
Molecule: ribosomal RNA, 488 nt
Filed under: uncultured bacterium
Lineage: Bacteria
Description: bacterial SSU rRNA
Rfam family: Bacterial small subunit ribosomal RNA
Source: RNAcentral